Molecule: long non-coding RNA, 600 nt
Filed under: Zonotrichia albicollis (white-throated sparrow)
Lineage: Eukaryota; Metazoa; Chordata; Aves; Passeriformes; Passerellidae
Description: lncRNA (ENSZALG00000004250.1)
Source: RNAcentral
ACCUGAAGACCCUGGAUUGCCUUAGAUGCAGUUGUCUAAGGAUUUCCCUUAAACAAUUUUCCUUCCAAGGACCUUAAAGCACGAUGUGCUACCCAGGAUUUUCCACUCCCAGAUCAGAAGUCUAAUAAAGCCCCCAGAGUGGUUGCCUGCAAUGAGUCCCUUGGGAACUUAUAAGGAUGGCAAUGUGUCACUUCACACUAGAGCAAGAGAAGAGCAGGAAUUCUUUCCCUUAAUGACUGUAGUUCUGUGAAUUGCAGUGUGUGAACUCAGCUGGACCUUGGAUGACAGACUUUCCUAAAAAUGUCCUUUUGGUAUUGUGGCAAAUUCAGACAAUUCAAGGUUGUUCUCUUUGUUUACAAGACAAAUAGUGAAAAUGAAGUGUUUGCCUUGGAGCCACCCCAUGCCUGGAGAGCAGUGACCCUGCAAACCAUUGUUGUGUGCAAGGCUCAGGAGUCCGGAUCUCACACAGCCCCGUGCCUCAGUGUCACUGUGGGACCCUCCUGGGACUCCUCUUGCUCUCCUCAUCCACUUGCUCAGAGCACAGAAUUAAGAAAAAGGAAUCAAGUUUCUGUUGGCUUUCCCAUUAGAGAUGGUUUCUGA